AUUGAACGCUGGCGGCAUGCUUUACACAUGCAAGUCGAACGGCAGCGCGGGCUUCGGCCUGGCGGCGAGUGGCGAACGGGUGAGUAAUACAUCGGAACGUGCCCAGUAGUGGGGGAUAGCUCGGCGAAAGCCGGAUUAAUACCGCAUACGACCUGAGGGUGAAAGCGGGGGAUCUUCGGACCUAGCGCUAUUGGAGCGGCCGAUGGCAGAUUAGCUAGUUGGUGGGGUAAAGGCCUACCAAGGCGACGAUCUGUAGCUGGUCUGAGAGGACGACCAGCCACACUGGGACUGAGACACGGCCCAGACUCCUACGGGAGGCAGCAGUGGGGAAUUUUGGACAAUGGGCGAAAGCCUGAUCCAGCAAUGCCGCGUGUGUGAUGAAGGACUUCGGGUUGUAAAGCACUUUUGGCGGGAACGAAAAGGACUGUGCCAAUACCACGGUUCGAUGACGGUACCCGCAGAAUAAGCACCGGCUAACUACGUG
This 484-nucleotide ribosomal RNA is filed under the name uncultured bacterium. RNAcentral's name for it is "partial 16S ribosomal RNA". It matches the Rfam family "Bacterial small subunit ribosomal RNA", at positions 29 to 507 of the family's 1533-position model. The record is from RNAcentral.